Molecule: transfer RNA, 57 nt
Filed under: Armillifer agkistrodontis
Lineage: Eukaryota; Metazoa; Arthropoda; Ichthyostraca; Porocephalida; Armilliferidae
Description: tRNA-Ser
Source: RNAcentral
AGGAAUAAAUUUAAGGACUUCUAAUCCCAAUAAAGUGAUAAUAUCAUUAUAUUCCUU